GACGAACGCUGGCGGCGUGCUUAACACAUGCAAGUCGAACGGAAAGGCCCUGCUUUUGUGGGGUGCUCGAGUGGCGAACGGGUGAGUAACACGUGAGUAACCUGCCCUUGACUUUGGGAUAACUUCAGGAAACUGGUGCUAAUACCGGAUAGGAGCUCCUGCUGCAUGGUGGGGGUUGGAAAGUUUCGGCGGUUGGGGAUGGACUCGCGGCUUAUCAGCUUGUUGGUGGGGUAGUGGCUUACCAAGGCUUUGACGGGUAGCCGGCCUGAGAGGGUGACCGGCCACAUUGGGACUGAGAUACGGCCCAGACUCCUACGGGAGGCAGCAGUGGGGAAUAUUGCACAAUGGGCGGAAGCCUGAUGCAGCAACGCCGCGUGCGGGAUGACGGCCUUCGGGUUGUAAACCGCUUUCGCCUGUGACGAAGCGUGAGUGACGGUAAUGGGUAAAGAAGCACCGGCUAACUACGU
This 467-nucleotide ribosomal RNA is filed under the name uncultured bacterium. Its description in RNAcentral is "partial 16S ribosomal RNA". It matches the Rfam family "Bacterial small subunit ribosomal RNA", at positions 28 to 506 of the family's 1533-position model. The record is from RNAcentral.